GACGAACGCUGGCGGCGUGCCUAACACAUGCAAGUCGAGCGGAGUCGAUCGACGGAAGCCUUCGGGCGGAAGAUGGUUGACUUAGCGGCGGAUGGGUGAGUAACGCGUGGGCAACCUGCCUCGAAGACCGGGAUAACAGCCCGAAAGGGCUGCUAAAUACCGGAUGUGGUCAAGGAUCCGCAUGGAUUUUUGAUUAAAGGGGAAACCCGUUUCGAGAUGGGCCCGCGUCCUAUCAGCUAGUUGGUGAGGUAAAAAGCUCACCAAGGCGACGACGGGUAGCCGGCCUGAGAGGGUGACCGGCCACACUGGAACUGAGACACGGUCCAGACUCCUACGGGGGGCAGCAGUGGGGAAUCUUCCACAAUGGGCGAAAGCCUGAUGGAGCGACGCCGCGUGAGCGAAGAAGGCCUUACGGGUUGUAAAGGCUACUGUCUGGAGGGACGAAGGAAGUAGACGGUACCUACCGGGACGGAAGCCAACCGGCUAACCGUACGUGCCGAGCAGCCGCGGUAACACCCUCCGUCUCUA
Molecule: ribosomal RNA, 528 nt
Filed under: uncultured bacterium
Lineage: Bacteria
Description: bacterial SSU rRNA
Rfam family: Bacterial small subunit ribosomal RNA
Source: RNAcentral